Capsicum annuum is the source of this 2930-nucleotide long non-coding RNA. RefSeq lists it as uncharacterized. NCBI's taxonomy places the organism in Eukaryota, Viridiplantae, Streptophyta, Magnoliopsida, Solanales, Solanaceae. The transcript has 6 exons. The record is from RefSeq and is a predicted model, not a curated record.
GGGAUGCCCUCUUCCCUCUCUAAACUAUCUAUUCGCCAAUGCUCAUUGCUCGAACCACUCCUAGAAUUUGACAAGGGGAGGUACUGGCCAGAAGUUGCUCAUAUUCCUGAAAUAUAUAUUGAUGAGGAAGUCAUGUGAUGACUAAAACAAAUUGCGCUCCGGCAGAUAAUGGAAAUUAUUCACCGUCAUGAAAGCUGUUACAUGUAAGUGAACAUGUUUUUUCAUUUCAGUAGCUUUUUGUUUUUCGUCCAGAGAUGAAGAUCGUGCUAUUAGAAACACUACUUACUGUCUAGAUAACUUGACAGUUAUCUUUGAAAACUUCUCCUUGCUUUUUCAUUACUGCAAGAGUCGUUCAAUCAGUUUGCAGAAUCACCAAGAAGUGCACAAAUGCGCGAAAAAAUGAAAUCUCUAUUUCACAAUCAGGUAAUAUGUUUUGCUUAUUCCCUGUUAUAAGACUACAUCAAAGCUUGGAAAGCAAAGAUUUUGAAGGAAAAUUUUCAUACUCGGUUCUUUUAAAGUCUAGAUAACUUGACAGUUGAUUCCAUGGAAUUCGCCUUUGCUUGCCUAUUAGCUUGAUUUGGCAUUUGAUCCAUUGGCAUUGUAGGAGUUGUUCAAUCGCUGAGUUGCAUAUAUAUAUCAUUGACAUAAUCUCCAAUCGCUUCCAGAACCACCAGACUGACCUCUUCCAUAUCUGAACUAUGUAUUUCCAACAGCCUGUUGCUCGAACCACGUCUAAAAUUUGAGGAGGGGGAUUACAUGCUAUAUAUUACUUAUAUCUCCUACAUCGAGAUUGGUUGGGAGUCCCUGCAAUGAAUAAAAUAGGUGGUGCUCUGAUAAAUAGCAGGGUGUAGCGUCUAUUGCCACUGUGAAGCCAAGAGAGGAUCUUCAGAUUAGCAUGAAAAAUGAAAAAUAAAAGUUACUUGAGAAAGGAGGAUGAAGUUUAGAGCUGCACAUGUUCACACUUGUGCUUUGAUAACGAGUAGAAUCUUAUUGUCCUCCGGAGCUGCAGAGUCUCCAAUAGAAUAUCCAAGGAUUUUGGUAACAAUAUGCUCAUAGCUCAAUUGGUGAAAGGAAAAUCAUGUUAGCAUUCUCCCUUGAAAGGACAAUCACCUCGACUGUGGUCUGGGAGCAAACUGUAAGUGAAGAUAAGUGCUUCUCUUUUGUGUGGAAUUUGACAGUAUUACUCUUUGAUCAGAAUAUCUGGACUACAAUUUUUUUUUUGGUUGGAUAACCGUGGUGUCCAGGCCAGCUUUCGCACACCUCGACUAAAUCCACGGGAUACCUUCCACCUCCCACCAGCAACAGAUAUAAAGUAACUCUGUCGCCCCAGGCUAGAUGGGAAGAAUCACCUAGGUUUUUUUCGUCUUCGCUGAGGUUUGAACCAACCCACUUCAUUGACCAUUAGGCCACACCCUUGGGUGUAUAUCUGGACGAAAGGUGUUUCCCCUACUUGUGGAAUAGGGGGGAUUCCUUGUUAUUAAGGUGUCAAGGUGCUUGAAAGUCACGAGCGGAAGCAACCGCUACUUUGAUCAUUCAAUUGACUCUUUUCUGCCAGUCCGUGCUUGCUGUCAUGCUGGAAAAAGCAGGGAUGUCGGUCAGUUAUACCUACUAUUGGAUUUUUCAGAUCAAUUCUUCGCUGCAAUCACUUUGAUCCACCCAAAUUCCGUAAUUCUUUUACUACUGUUGACUAUUCAGCAUUUAGAUUUGGCUGUUCAAACAUUCAAAUUUUCCACCAAAUAGAAAAUUUCACUUGAUUGCACCAACGAAUCACAAAGCAUUGCCUCUCAAAUCAAUCAGUAAGUGUUUGUUCUCGUUUCAAGUUAUAUUAAACCAUGAUCUUCUUCUCUUCCUUGACAGCCAUGCUUGAAGUUUCAUUUCCAAUUGAAAGAUGUGUAUUUGGUGGUACGUCAGAACAAACACAAUAUAGAAUCACUUCAGAAGACGACCAUUCAAUGUCUAGGGAAUCAAGUCGUCUUAGUUAGGAAUUGACUGCAAUACAGUCUCCAUUGUUGUCUCAGUUAAGAGUUCUUAUUUAAUGAAUGUGAGUGUAGUUUUGCCUGAAUCAUAUCAAAAGAGACUGUCCUUUUCCACCAUUCAUAUAAGGCUUAUAACUUUUUUCGUUAUUUUACAUCUGUCUGUGUGCAUGAAGUUUCAUCGCAAUAGCAAUUCUCUGAAUUUUCCUUGGGCAAGGAAGAAGUGCUUCGGGGUAAUGAUUGUGCAUAAUCAGUGUUGAUAAAGGUCUUACUUCAUCCCUCUACAUUCUGGCAAUCCUUAAUUUCACUAUCUCUGAAUCAUGUAUGUACGACAUCCAUUACGUGUUUAGAGGAAUCAUUCAUGCUUAGCUAUAGACACAUGGGUUGGUCCAGUAAUUGUAAUACCUAAAAUGGCUAAAACCCCUAAUAUUUCUUUCUUUUUUUUUUAAUUUGCUGUCAGUUAGGUUAUCUUUGAGUCAGGAGGCUGUGAUUUCCAAGUCGUACAACCAUCUAUUUUGGCUUGCUUGAGAUAUAUGAAGCAUGAUUUGCUGCAAAUGGAACAUACAGCUUGUAUUGUUGGCUUCUGGUUGAUUAGGCUCGCGCGACUUUAAAAUUUGUCACAAGGGUCUAAGGCUCACUUCUUUAUAUACUAACAAUCAACGUCUCUCAAGUGUUUUGUCGAUAUGACAUUUGUCUAGGAUGUGACAAUGACUUUCUUGUUACUCUGAAUAUGUCUGAGCCAACGAAAAUCAAAAGAUGACAUGAUUAUUAUUGGUUCUCUAGUAUUGAGAAAUCUGAGUUUGAGCUACGUGUAUUUGCUUAUCAUGUGUUUUAAGAUAGUAUAAUCACUUUCUAAUUUCUAUGCUCACUGUGAAAAAAAAAAAAUAGGAUCUAGUUACAAAGUUUAUUACUAAUUUAUUGUUAUAUGGUUUGUAAUAUGUUGCAACUAUAGUGCAA